RNAcentral lists this ribosomal RNA (496 nucleotides) under uncultured bacterium. RNAcentral describes it as "partial 16S ribosomal RNA". It matches the Rfam family "Bacterial small subunit ribosomal RNA", at positions 28 to 506 of the family's 1533-position model. The record is from RNAcentral.
GAUGAACGCUGGCGGCGUGCCUAAUACAUGCAAGUCGAGCGAACAGACGAGGAGCUUGCUCCUCUGACGUUAGCGGCGGACGGGUGAGUAACACGUGGAUAACCUACCUAUAAGACUGGGAUAACUUCGGGAAACCGGAGCUAAUACCGGAUAAUAUAUUGAACCGCAUGGUUCAAUAGUGAAAGACGGUUUUGCUGUCACUUAUAGAUGGAUCCGCGCUGCAUUAGCUAGUUGGUAAGGUAACGGCUUACCAAGGCAACGAUGCAUAGCCGACCUGAGAGGUGAUCCGCCAACACUGAAACGGAAACACGUCCAGGACUCCAACGGGAGGCAGCAGAGGGAAUUCUUCGGCAAGGGGCGAAAGCCGACCGAGGAAACGCGGGUGAGGGAAGAAAGUUCUCCGAUUCGUAAAACUCGGUUAUUGGGAAGAAACAAAGUGGAAGUAAAUAUGCAACACCUGAAGGUAACUAAUCCAAAAGGCCACGCCUAAUUACGG